RNAcentral lists this ribosomal RNA (524 nucleotides) under uncultured bacterium. RNAcentral's name for it is "partial 16S ribosomal RNA". It matches the Rfam family "Bacterial small subunit ribosomal RNA", at positions 28 to 523 of the family's 1533-position model. The record is from RNAcentral.
GACGAACGCUGGCGGCGUGCCUAAUACAUGCAAGUCGAACGAAGCUGUUUUAACUGGUGCUUGCACCGACUUAAACAACUGAGUGGCGAACGGGUGAGUAACACGUGGGUAACCUGCCCCAAAGCGGGGGAUAACAUUUGGAAACAGAUGCUAAUACCGCAUAAUCACAGAAACCACAUGGUUUCUGUGUCAAAGAUGGUUUCGGCUAUCACUUUGGGAUGGACCCGCGGCGUAUUAGCUAGUUGGUAAGGCAAUGGCUUACCAAGGCAAUGAUAAGUAGCCGAACUGAGAGGUUGAUCGGCCACAUGGGGACUGAGACACGGCCCAAACUCCUACGGGAGGCAGCAGUAGGGAAUCUUCCACAAUGGACGAAAGUCUGAUGGAGCAACGCCGCGUGAGUGAAGAAGGUUUUCGGAUCGUAAAACUCUGUUGUCAGAGAAGAACGUGUGCGAGAGUAACUGUUCGUGCAGUGACGGUAUCUGGCCAGAAAGCCACGGCUAACUACGUGCCAGCCGCCGCAGUAA